Long non-coding RNA from Octopus sinensis (East Asian common octopus), 705 nucleotides. RefSeq lists it as uncharacterized. The transcript has 2 exons. The record is from RefSeq and is a predicted model, not a curated record. Lineage: Eukaryota; Metazoa; Mollusca; Cephalopoda; Octopoda; Octopodidae.
UUAUGAUGAUACUAAAGGAUAAAAAGAGCGAGGGCGGGAUAGGAAGAUGAAAGGCAGUUAAGAUGAUAGCAAAGAGCAAUUGAACAAUUGAAGUCGUCUGGAAGAUAGAAGAUGUCGGUCAGCAAAAUAAAUGGAUAUAAAGAUGGAUAUAUAGAUAAAGUUCAGAAAGUAAUGCAAAAUGAAGAAAAAUCCCACGAGCAAAAUGUAAGAAUUCGUUAUGUAAUGGAUUAAUAAAUCAAUUCAGAACAUGAAUAUAUAAAGCUUCACUAUGAAAGCAGGUUUUAAAAAGAAAUUUCAAAUUAUUCUCCUUCGAGAAGAUUCGAUGUCAAUAUUGCAACCGCUAAACUAAACCUCAAUGUUCAUCUCCGUACAUUGAUGAAAAGGAGAGAAACUUUUCCUUCUUGAAGUACAGAACAUCAAUAAAAGACUACGAGUUGCUAGAAGUGGUAAGAAGUCAGUUCUAUUCAGAUGGAUAAUAUGAUCAACAUCUUAUCCAUUUGAUCACAAUUAUUCAUCUUUUCAGUGAGUCCUGUAACAGUGUUGAUUUGGUGCUCACUUCUGAAGAAAUGGUGCUUAUGUUGAAAUUCUAGGGAAAAUUACACGGAAGUGGCUCCCUGCAGUUUGUUAGCUUGAUAACUACUUGGUCCUUAAACACGAAGUUUGUGCUAUGGUUUAUAUAUAAAUACUUAGUCUAAGACAUGGCAA